RNAcentral lists this ribosomal RNA (253 nucleotides) under uncultured bacterium. RNAcentral's name for it is "partial 16S ribosomal RNA". It matches the Rfam family "Bacterial small subunit ribosomal RNA", at positions 524 to 776 of the family's 1533-position model. The record is from RNAcentral.
UACGAAGGGGGCUAGCGUUGCUCGGAAUGACUGGGCGUAAAGGGCGCGUAGGCGGUUCGUACAGUCAGACGUGAAAUUCCCGGGCUCAACCUGGGGACUGCGUUUGAUACGUGCGGGCUUGAGUUCGGAAGAGGGUCGUGGAAUUCCCAGUGUAGAGGUGAAAUUCGUAGAUAUCGGGAGGAACACCUGUGGCGAAAGCGGCGCACUGGACCACAACUGACGCUGAGGCGCGAAAGCUAGGGGAGCAAACGGG